RNAcentral lists this ribosomal RNA (472 nucleotides) under uncultured bacterium. Its description in RNAcentral is "bacterial SSU rRNA". It matches the Rfam family "Bacterial small subunit ribosomal RNA", at positions 355 to 825 of the family's 1533-position model. The record is from RNAcentral.
UGGGGAAUUUUGGACAAUGGGGGAAACCCUGAUCCAGCCAUUCCGCGUGAGUGAAGAAGGCCUUCGGGUUGUAAAGCUCUUUCGGCAGGAACGAAACGGUUACGGAUAAUACCCGUGACUACUGACGGUACCUGAAGAAGAAGCACCGGCUAACUACGUGCCAGCAGCCGCGGUAAUACGUAGGGUGCGAGCGUUAAUCGGAUUUACUGGGCGUAAAGCAUGCGCAGGCGGCGGUUCAAGUCAGGUGUGAAAUCCCCGAGCUUAACUUGGGAAUUGCGCUUGAAACUAGAUCGCUAGAGUACGGCAGAGGGGGGUAGAAUUCCACGUGUAGCAGUGAAAUGCGUAGAUAUGUGGAGGAACACCGAUGGCGAAGGCAGCCCCCUGGGCCUGUACUGACGCUCAUGCAUGAAAGCGUGGGGAGCAAACAGGAUUAGAUACCCACGUAGUCCCUGAGCGGGCUGGCAAGGCGCAU